AGUCGCCAAGAUGAGGACAUACAAGUAAGUCCUAUUUCUCUCACUGACGUCUUCUCUCAUAAAGAGAUAUAACAGGGCUGUCUGAAGUUUGUUUAAGGCGGAAAGCAUGCGAGCACAGGACAGCACGUGUGUUGACCCGUUGGGAGUAAAUCUUUACGUGUGCCCGUCUGACCACUUCUAUUGGGUGCCAGAUCAGUUGAGCAAAGGUUCUCAAGAUGAAGAUCAGACAUUUUAUAGGAACUAUGAAGGAGAGAUGCGCAAAAAAGUUGUGGAAGAGUCACGUCUCCAAUGUGAACGCAGUUGUUUUAAUAGGAAACGGAUAUUAGGCCUAAUGAUGACUUUAGCGGGCUGAAGAGAAACGUGACCAUUAACCACAGAGCAGAUGAAAACUGAUACCAAUGUUCUCAAAAGAUGAGUGAUGUUUCGGAGGUGCUGCGUUGUUCUUUGAUGUGAGGAAGGAAGGUUGAGAAAGAGAAAGCUGUCCAGCACAAGCCACCCUCAUUAGUGUCCAGCGCCCGAAGACACAGGUCACAAAACCCAAUGAACUGGCCAUUUGAUUCAGCUCUGCAGACACUCAGCCCUAAUGCUGCGGUCCGCUCUGACAGCACAUCAUACGCAACACUCAAAGCAGCUUGAAUAACCCUUGGACCGCAUACGGAGUGCAUUAUUUUUUAUGACGAAACCGCUAUAGGGUCCAACUUCUCAACCUGCUUGUAGAUUACAUUCAUUCAAUAAAUUGUGCAUUUUUGAUUUUCUCAACAAAAAAAA
This 768-nucleotide long non-coding RNA is filed under the name Danio rerio (zebrafish). Its description in RNAcentral is "lncRNA si:ch211-202e12.3 (ENSDARG00000095715.4)". The record is from RNAcentral. Lineage: Eukaryota; Metazoa; Chordata; Actinopteri; Cypriniformes; Danionidae.